This 1805-nucleotide long non-coding RNA is filed under the name Betta splendens (Siamese fighting fish). RNAcentral's name for it is "lncRNA (ENSBSLG00000008111.1)". The record is from RNAcentral. Lineage: Eukaryota; Metazoa; Chordata; Actinopteri; Anabantiformes; Osphronemidae.
AUGACAGGCGACGGGAACAGGCCACGCGGGCUGGUGCGAUCUGCAGCGGUGAUGUUGCUCCUUUUUUCUUUGGCCCCGAGUUUAAAUUGUUUCAGCGUGAGGGGACUGGGCAAAAACGCUCACCAGGACACGACGGACGGCGCAGCUGCAGUGACUAGAGGACGGAUCGGACACAUUAUAUUUGGGAACGCGAACAUACCGCCGUGGUCUUCCUUUGAAGGUAACGGCGGAUCGGCGCAUGUUGACUUGCCCCAGGCUGACGGCACAGGGGCGCUGGGACAGAGCUGGCAGCAGCUGAGCCCCCAAGAAGCCGCAUGGCGGCGCUUGAAUCCCAGCCUGUCCUGCGGCGCGACCAGGAUGAAGCUGAGGGCCAUGGGACCGGGAGCCGCCAAUCUACAGCUGGACAUGGGCCAGGUCAACGGCGUCGCGCGCAGCCUCCCUCUGAUCCACGUGCCCAGGUCUUGCGGCUACACGAUGCGACAGAAUGCGCUUGGUCUGGUUUUGCUGGUUCCCUAUGACGGCUGCGGUGUGACUCAACAGAAUGGAAACUACGUGCUGCCAAUGAGUUGGCAGCAAAAUCCAGUUAAACUCGCCUGCCCGACGUUGCAGAACGACCCAACAGUUCCUCAAACUACGGCUGCAACCACCACCACCACCACAUCACCGCCAACCACAGUACCUCCUACCUAUCCUUUCCAAAACUUCCCUUAUGACCCGUUGUAUUCUCAAUUCCAGUGGGCACAGCAAUGGCCGCCGGCCGAUGCGACUACUUCUCAGCCCACCACCACCCCCACAACGGUGCCGCCUGCGAUGAAUCCUGCAGUAAAUCCCAAUUAUCCACCCUACUUCUAUCCUCCCCCUAAUUGGCCACAGCAAUCUCUGUACGUGGUGCCGCCGGCCAAUCCUGCUCCAACAACUCCACCUACGACUCCUGCUCAGCCAGCCACAAUGCCGCCCCCUGCUGUGAAUCCCAACUAUCCACCCUUUCCUUAUCUGCCUUAUUAUUCUCCCCUUUCUUGGCCACAGCCCAUGCUGGCACCAGCCACUACCCCUGAUGCCGCUACUACGCCACCGACCACAAGCACAGAGCCAACCUCAACUACGGAGUCAACCACAAAUGCCCCACCCACAGUGAACCCUCCUAUGGAUGAAUACCUGUACUACCAAUAUCCAUAUUUUUGGUUUGGCCCCCCCUCAAGUCUUGACGCUGCAGGAGGUGCUGCACCAGCAGGCGGCGCUGCAGCAGGAGGUCCAGUUGCUGCACCAGCAGACGCUGCAGUUGUUACGGCACCUGCAGAAACUACUACAAUGCCGCCCACGACGACUCCUCCCUCUACUGAAAUGCCUACUCAGCCAUCACUCCCAGCAGACUACCCUAACUAUCAGUACUACCCAUCUGGAUUCCCUGGUCAGCCUGGACUUUACUACCCACUCAAUUACCCUCAAUACCCACAAAGUCCCACAGAUUGUGCCAUGCAAAGUGACACGAGUGCCUCAUGUCCCAACAAAAUGCCCGGCAGUAGCAGCUACUUUGACUUGAGUGCCUAUUACCCAUACAGCUGGAAUCCCUUUCUUCACUACCCAUGGCACAGAAACAAGCACUUUCCGUCUUCCUGGAGAUACAGGAUUCCUGCUGGCUACCUACCUGGAGUCCAAAGUCUUGUACAGCCAUACCCAGGGUUUUUGUACCCACAACCUAUGCCCUGGUUUUCCUACCCUGGCCAACAGAUGUCUCAAGGAGUGUGAUGUCCAACUGGAGCUGAGACUUUUCAAUAAAUGUCUUACUGAAAAUGAUUCUUGUUUCA